UUUCAAUUUACGUCGAAAAAAGAGACAAGGGUCCGAAUUGAAACAGGGUAAUUUAACCCGACCCGGUUAAUUGGACCCGAAAUAAAACCUCUAGAAUUAGUUGUGUUUAGGGGGUUUUAGCAAGGAGAGAGAAAAUGGACAGAGGGAAAUAUUUGGCAUUGGUGGGAGGAGGAGCUCUCUUGGGCUCUGUAUCUACCUUCUUUCUUCUUAGGCUUCUUCAAUCUCAAAAAAGAGGUGUAUCGCAGUGCAGUAAGAAUGUUCCGGCUGAUCUCAAUGGUGUUGAGGGAUGCUCUAUUUCUGGAAAGAAAAAUGAUAGGGUGGUUAACGAAGAUCUUCUGAAAGAUGAGAUUGUUUCAGAACAGCUAACUAGGAACAUUCAGUUUUUUGGCUUUGAAUCUCAGCAAAAAGUGACUGGAUCAUAUGUAGUGGUCAUUGGUCUUGGAGGUGUCGGUAGUCAUGCUGCUACUAUGCUCUUGAGAUCAGGGAUUGGCAAGCUUCUUCUUGUUGACUUUGACCAGGUUUCUCUUUCAUCACUAAAUCGACAUGCUGUUGCGACAAGAGCAGAUGUUGGCAUCUCGAAAGCUCAGUGCCUUAAGGAGUACUUCUUAUCUGUCUUUCCAGAGUGCCAAGUAGAUGCCAAAGUGUUAUUAUAUGAUUCAUCCACUGAAGAAGAAAUUCUCUCAGGCCACCCUGACUUUGUAUUGGAUUGUAUUGAUAACAUUGAUACAAAGGUGGCACUUCUUGCUGCAUGUGUACGCAGGGGUUUGAAGGUUCUAUCCGCCACAGGGGCUGGUGCCAGAGCUGAUCCAACAAGAAUACGCAUUGCUGAUCUGAGAGAGUCUACUAAUGAUCCAUUGUCUCGAGCUGUAAGACACCGUUUGAGGAAAGAUCAUGGCAUUGAAGGUGGUAUCCCUGUGGUGUUUUCUUUAGAAAAACCCAAAGCUAAGCUGCUUCCCUUUAAGGGUCCAAGCGGAGAAGAAAACCCUUCAGAUUACCAGAUAAUACCAGGUUUUAGGGUUCGUAUCAUACCUGUGCUUGGCACCAUCCCUGCAAUAUUUGGACAAUUCAUGGCCUCCUAUGUUGUGACAGAGUUAGCAGGAGUUCAUGUUCAAACAGAACCUGUAGUCAAUUUUGAUAUGGAUCAUUAUCAUACUCUUCAUCAACGCCUUAUCGAGCAUGAGGAGUCAGUGUAUGGAACAUCCACCGAAGUACUGAUAGAUGUUGAAGAAGUGAUGUAUAUUGUUAAAGAGUUAUGGAAUGGAAGAAGUGCUAGAGAAAAGCAUGUGAAAGAUGUUGGGCGAGGAAUGUGGCGAUCGGUUAAUGAACUAAUGCUUGUUAGGUGGGACAGUACAAAACCGGCAUCUAUUUCAAAUCUGAUUCUUUUGAAAUUCAAAGAGGUGGAUGAACAUGAAUCACGAACAUUGGAUGACAUAAAGGAAAAUGAACCAGAAUUUUACAGUAGAGUAACUGCUGUUUUAAAACGAGCUGAACUUGACUUUGGACUGUGAAUCUGUCAAGGCUACUCUUUUUGAAUGAUUUAAGUCUUAUAUUCCUCCCGCAUGCAGAAGACACUUUAAUGGAAGGUGCUCUCUUUUGAUCUUUAAUCUUCUCCAAGAACGCGAUCUACUUUAAUGGGUUUUUGACCUGCAGAAGACACUCUGACGCUCAAGUCAUAUAUGUUUCAUAAAGAGAUCUAUAUUUUAUUGGGAUAGUAAAAGAUGAUUGUACCUGACAUCAGUUGUAUUAUUUAUAAAGUUUGUGGCAGUCAAGUCCAUUGAUUAGUUAUCA
Vigna angularis (adzuki bean) is the source of this 1788-nucleotide RNA transcript. It is a transcript of the gene named tRNA threonylcarbamoyladenosine dehydratase, with no coding region annotated. The record is from RefSeq and is a predicted model, not a curated record. Lineage: Eukaryota; Viridiplantae; Streptophyta; Magnoliopsida; Fabales; Fabaceae. The transcript has 12 exons.